Molecule: ribosomal RNA, 509 nt
Filed under: uncultured bacterium
Lineage: Bacteria
Description: bacterial SSU rRNA
Rfam family: Bacterial small subunit ribosomal RNA
Source: RNAcentral
CGAACGCUGGCGGCGUGCCUAACACAUGCAAGUCAACGGGGAUUUGUUUCGGCAGAAUCCUAGUGGCGAACGGGUGAGUAACGCGUAGGCAACCUGCCCUCCGGCCGGGGACAACACUCCGAAAGGGGUGCUAAUACCGGAUACGAAGUCUGUGCCGCAUGGUACGGAUUUGAAAGAUGGCCUCUAUUUAUAAGCUAUCGCCGGGGGAUGGGCCUGCGUCCGAUUAGCUGGUUGGUGGGGUAACGGCCUACCAAGGCGACGAUCGGUAGCCGGUCUGAGAGGAUGAACGGCCACAUUGGGACUGAGACACGGCCCAGACUCCUACGGGAGGCAGCAGUGGGGAAUCUUCCGCAAUGGGCGCAAGCCUGACGGAGCAACGCCGCGUGAGUGAGGAAGUUCUUCGGAACGUAAAGCUCUGUUGUUCCUGACGAACCUCCCUUCUAUCAACAACGGAGGGGACUGACGGUAGGGAACGAGGAAGCCACGGCUAACUACGUGCCAGCCGCCGC